RNAcentral lists this ribosomal RNA (460 nucleotides) under uncultured bacterium. RNAcentral's name for it is "SSU rRNA". It matches the Rfam family "Bacterial small subunit ribosomal RNA", at positions 26 to 518 of the family's 1533-position model. The record is from RNAcentral.
AGAAUCAACGCUGGCGGCGUGCCUAACACAUGCAAGUCGAACGAGAAAGUGGAGCAAUCCAUGAGUACAGUGGCGUACGGGUGAGUAACACGUGACUACCUACCCUCGAGUGGGGAAUAACCUCGGGAAACCGGGGCUAAUACCGCAUAACAUCUACGGAUCAAAUGCGAAAGCAGCUUGAGGAGGGGGUCGCGGCCGAUUAGCUAGUUGGUGAGGUAAUGGCCCACCAAGGCAAUGAUCGGUAGCCGGCCUGAGAGGGCGCACGGCCACACUGGAACUGAAACACGGUCCAGACUCCUACGGGAGGCAGCAGUGGGGAAUUUUGCGCAAUGGGGGAAACCCUGACGCAGCAACGCCGCGUGGAGGAUGAAGCCCCUUGGGGUGUAAACGUCCUUUCGAUCGGGACGAUUAUGACGGUACCGGAAGAAGAAGCACCGGCUAACUCUGUGCCAGCAGCCGC